This 195-nucleotide unclassified non-coding RNA is filed under the name uncultured Dothideomycetes. RNAcentral describes it as "sequence contains ITS1". The record is from RNAcentral. Lineage: Eukaryota; Fungi; Ascomycota; Dothideomycetes.
CCGAGUACCGGGUCUCUAAGGCCCUUACUCCCCCACCCUUUGUGUACCUUACCGUUUGAUUCAGUUGCCUUGGUGGGCUAUUUUCCCCUAGGAAAUUGCUAACCCGUUCCCUAGGAACAGGGAAAACCCGCCAGGGGGACUCCCCUAAACUCUUUUGAAUUGGGACGUCUGAGAAAACAAAUCAAAUAAAAAUUA